GCCGAUGUGGCGGAAUUGGCAGACGCNNUGUUCCUUCGGGAGUGUCGGUUCGACCCCGACCAUCGGUAUCA
Molecule: transfer RNA, 71 nt
Filed under: Bacillus toyonensis
Lineage: Bacteria; Bacillati; Bacillota; Bacilli; Caryophanales; Bacillaceae
Description: tRNA-OTHER
Source: RNAcentral